CCUGCCCUGAUAUAUAGAAAGAUUCAUUACCCCAAACUCUUGCUCCGGUACUUGGUGGUCCACGGAGCAGUUCUGCUGAACCGUGUUGGGGAAACUACGUACAUUGCAUUGACCGAGAGUUUAAGGUCUCAUGGGUCUGACUUUCUACAUGAAUGAAUGAGAGAAGAAGUUGCAUUGCAUCGACCGUGAGUUUAAAGUCGA
RNAcentral lists this long non-coding RNA (201 nucleotides) under Elaeis guineensis (African oil palm). Its description in RNAcentral is "long non-coding RNA (EGUI_LNC019507)". Lineage: Eukaryota; Viridiplantae; Streptophyta; Magnoliopsida; Arecales; Arecaceae. The record is from RNAcentral.